RNAcentral lists this ribosomal RNA (625 nucleotides) under Salmonella enterica subsp. enterica serovar Infantis. Its description in RNAcentral is "partial 23S ribosomal RNA". The record is from RNAcentral. Lineage: Bacteria; Pseudomonadati; Pseudomonadota; Gammaproteobacteria; Enterobacterales; Enterobacteriaceae.
CCGGAGAAUGUUAUCACGGGAGACACACGGCGGGUGCUAACGUCCGUCGUGAAGAGGGAAACAACCCAGACCGCCAGCUAAGGUCCCAAAGUCAUGGUUAAGUGGGAAACGAUGUGGGAAGGCCCAGACAGCCAGGAUGUUGGCUUAGAAGCAGCCAUCAUUUAAAGAAAGCGUAAUAGCUCACUGGUCGAGUCGGCCUGCGCGGAAGAUGUAACGGGGCUAAACCAUGCACCGAAGCUGCGGCAGCGAACGUAUCACUUAAAGCGAUUCAGCGGGUUACGAUUGACGGAGCGAAGCGACGUCAAAGCGUAUACAAAGUCGAGUCGGUUUAAGGAUACGUUCGUUGGGUAGGGGAGCGUUCUGUAAGCCUGYGAAGGUGKGUCGUGAGGSAUGCUGGAGGUAUCAGAAGUGCGAAUGCUGACAUAAGUAACGAUAAAGCGGGUGAAAAGCCCGCUCGCCGGAAGACCAAGGGUUCCUGUCCAACGUUAAUCGGGGCAGGGUGAGUCGACCCCUAAGGCGAGGCCGAAAGGCGUAGUCGAUGGGAAACGGGUUAAUAUUCCCGUACUUGGUGUUACUGCGAAGGGGGGACGGAGAAGGCUAUGUUGGCCGGGCGACGGUUGUCCCG